Molecule: long non-coding RNA, 1077 nt
Filed under: Volvox carteri
Lineage: Eukaryota; Viridiplantae; Chlorophyta; Chlorophyceae; Chlamydomonadales; Volvocaceae
Description: long non-coding RNA (VCAR_LNC002653)
Source: RNAcentral
GUACUAUCUACAGGUACUGCGGACUGUAGCACCGACAUAGAAUAUAUAGGGAACGAAAAAGAAUCAGAGCCAUUUACACAUUUUAUCAACAGUCAUCGUUUGGUUUGGUGGACGUCCUAGCUAGGUCCUUCGCUCGCGUCGCGUGCAUGCGGGCGGUGGCCUGUUGCACGCGGCAUAAAUACAUGCAUCUAUCGCAUUACAAAAUCGCGUGAAGUACUGCUCAAACAUGCUUCUUGCGAACUCGAAGCUCCUCACCGACCAUCAUCCCGGGCUCGACACUUUCGACGGAUUCGCCGCUUUCACCGCUGCUGCUGCUUCUGGUUAGACAGCUCAUCACCAGGAGGGCGGCCACAGCCGCUGUCCACCGAAUAGCAGCCAUGGGUAGGACUAAUAACGAAGACGCUGAAAUUAUGUAAUAAAAAUAAAAUCUUUCAGGUUAUGCUAUCUUGUCGAUUUUCGCGUCGAUGAAACGCACAUAGGACAAGUCGGGUGUCGGCUUCCUCGAAGCCGGAAAAAGGGCGGGGGCCCCCUGCAUCCGUACAGGCCGCGGCCGGUAGCUAGCGCGGCAUGUGUGACAAUUGAUGGGUAGUGUCAACGCGGUGGGAGAUGUGCUUUGUUGCAGCAAUGCUGAUGGUGUGGGAGCUAAGCUUGCACCGGCGGAAUCGUCAGCACCGCCUGCGGGCUCCACGCGAAUCGCAUCCAUCCCGGGUGCAUGCCAUAUGGACAGUGCGGCAGACCGCAAGUCGGAAUGCCCGUGCGGGCAAAAUGGUAACGCAAGCUGGGUGUUCAAUUGUCAUACGCUGUCAUCUCAGAAUUCCAUUAUGAGAUACACGGCACCUUUUGAGAUGAAAUUUAGUCCGAGAGGCGUUGACGUGACUUUGAGCUCGGUCAAUUGAGGCAGCCAAAGUUGUUUGUCUCAUACGAUCUUUGUUGGCAACCGGCGAGAUACCUUGCAGUAGGGAAUGCUAUAUAGUACCGAUAACGCGUUUCAGCCGGGUGAAAUAUUAUGUUUGGUCCGUUACACACUCAAGGCCUGGGAGUUCGAGUUAUCAUACGCCGUCAUCUAAGAAUUCAAAU